RNAcentral lists this ribosomal RNA (451 nucleotides) under uncultured bacterium. RNAcentral describes it as "bacterial SSU rRNA". It matches the Rfam family "Bacterial small subunit ribosomal RNA", at positions 335 to 799 of the family's 1533-position model. The record is from RNAcentral.
ACUCCUACGGGAGGCAGCAGUGGGGGAAUCUUUGGACAAUGGGGGCGAACCCUCGAUCCAGCCAUGCCGCGUGAGUGAUGAAGGCCUUAGGUCGUAAAGCUCUUUCGCCUGUGAUGAUAAUGACAGUAGCAGGUAAAGAAACCCCGGCUAACUCCGUGCCAGCAGCCGCGGUAAUACGGAGGGGUUAGCGUUGUUCGGAAUUACUGGGCGUAAAGCGCGCGUAGGCGGAUUAGUCAGUUAGAGGUGAAAUCCCAGGGCUCAACCCUGGAACUGCCUUUAAUACUGCUAGUCUUGAGUUCGAGAGAGGUGAGUGGAAUUCCGAGUGUAGAGGUGAAAUUCGUAGAUAUUCGGAGGAACACCAGUGGCGAAGGCGGCUCACUGGCUCGAUACUGACGCUGAGGUGCGAAAGUGUGGGGGAGCAAACAGGAUUAGAUACCCUGGUAGGAUAGCG